GAGGCCCGCGGAGGAGCCCGCGCCGGCCACGAAGCUCAGCUCCGCGCCGCGCGGACCCACCGAGCCCGCGCUCAGACGCUCCAGCUCCGCCGAGAGGCCGCUCGCGCCGGGUCCUUCCUCUUCCCCAAGUGCAGGCAGAGCCCCCGGAGCCAUGGCCAGCCCUUCCGGCAGCUCCGAAGCCACUGGCAAGCCCCGAGGCAGGGAUGGCCGGCCCAGGAGGGAGGAGGACGACGUCCCUCCCGAGGAGAAGAGGCUGCGCCUGGGGCUGGAGGGGGGAAGCGCACAGCCCGAGGACUGCGAGGACGGGGAGGACGCGCCGCGGCCGGGCAGGGAGGAGACCGGCACCCAGACAGGUGGCGACGGCAGAGGAGAAGGAAAAUACAUGUACGGCCAACUUCCUUGAGGGUUCGUUCUUUUGCAUCAGCGUGUCUCAAACUCCUGCCCUUAAAACACCUGCAAGAAAAUCAUCCAGGCGGCUUGCUCGCUCUGCUUGCAGACCCUUUAGAAUCAGAGUCAGAAUCCCUGGGGCUGGAGCCACAAAAUGAAAUGACAUUUCAACAAGUCUGUCAUUACAUAAGAGAGAAUAG
Molecule: small RNA, 587 nt
Filed under: Pongo abelii (Sumatran orangutan)
Lineage: Eukaryota; Metazoa; Chordata; Mammalia; Primates; Hominidae
Description: processed transcript
Source: RNAcentral